This is a long non-coding RNA of Ochlerotatus camptorhynchus, 299 nucleotides long. RefSeq lists it as uncharacterized. The record is from RefSeq and is a predicted model, not a curated record. Lineage: Eukaryota; Metazoa; Arthropoda; Insecta; Diptera; Culicidae. The transcript has 3 exons.
UGCGCUUUUCCUCUCACUAUUAAUUACUAAGGAGUGAAGUUUUUCCUAUUAUAUUAGCUUCGAAUUAUUUGUACCAAAAUUUCGCUUAUAAAAUGUGUCUGAUAGAGAAACAAUUCAUGGGAAACCGAAUUUUAAAUUUUUUGUUUGUUCUAUGUAUAUGGAUUGUAUGGCUUAUUAGGAUUGCAGAAGGAGCAUAUGGAAAUGUUGUUUCUCUGCCUGGAGAGUGUCGCGAUGUUAAUGGGAAAAAAGUAGAACAAGAUGCUCACUACGUUCCCCCAGGUACCGACGUUUGUCGUUUA